ACAAAAACCGAUACUUACGACCCUCUGGCUAUGUACUAUGGCAACAGGAAAGGGGCAGGGAACCCAAAAUUUGUCCCACACAGAAGCGUACGAUGAUGGGCCGUGAACUAUAGAUGGCCAUGUUCAGUUUACAUUGGUGAAAUGAGAAUUUUUUUACUUUUAUAUUACUGGAGAUCACAGAAAAAAUGGUAUGAAGUACUUUUACUGUGUUGUCUCCCUGAAAUUUAUCAAUGAGAUGCUCAAACCCAUUCACAGAGAUCUUUGUCAGGCUGAUGAUUGUUCCCACCAUUAACAUUUGUUUCGAAUUUCAGUUGAGUAGUUCCCGUUACUUACAUUGUUUCAGUAUUAACUCCUAAUUGUCUAUCUAGAAUUUCAAUUCAUUCGAAUUGUCUGUCUUAAGUUAAUUACAGUACAGGGCAGGCAACAAAUGAGUAGUGUGAAUGGUAUUUAUAAAAAAACCAUGUAGGUAGCCUAUACAGCAUUCCAGAUUAUUUUUCACACGUCUUAGAAUUAUCAAACAGUAUGUAGUGCUUCCAGUUGCCCUCUAAUAUCAUUAUAGCUCCGCCUGCCCAUCAGCAUAACUCCAAGGACCAAGAUUCAAACAUCGGACUGGGGUGGUGCCAAUUAGUAAAUAAAAGUGUUUGGAAUUUAGUAAGUUUCGAAUAUUUGCUAGAUAGACGCCCAAUGCAACAAUGAGGUCUGUAACAAAAGGCUUUUUUUUUAUUGAGUGUAAAAUUCUUGAUUGAUAAUAUCGUUGAAAUGUCACAUUUUCAAUUUAACAGUAAUUAUGAAUUAAAAUUGAAUCACAGACGUCCCCCAAUUGUUUUUAAUCCGGAUGCGAACGUCGAAGAAACGCUGUACUUAAAAUUCCAUGAUGCAACUGAAAUCAUUUUGGGGCCGCUCGCGAUGGAAGAAUGGAUUCGAUUCUCAGUCUGUUUUUGGCAUUCUUUCAGAGAAACAGGAGCUGAUCCGUUAAGCCAAGCAACUGUUAGGCGAAAUCGGGAUGACGGCACAGAAACGAUAGAAACUAAGCUUCCCCAUCCUUCAAAAGCGGCAUUAAUGGGGCCAUCUUCAACUACUUCUUUCUUCGUAAGGAACGAAAUUGACGUUAGUGCCCAAAAACAGAGUUGUUGCGAGCUAUUGGC
Daphnia pulicaria is the source of this 1145-nucleotide long non-coding RNA. RefSeq lists it as uncharacterized. The transcript has 3 exons. Lineage: Eukaryota; Metazoa; Arthropoda; Branchiopoda; Diplostraca; Daphniidae. The record is from RefSeq and is a predicted model, not a curated record.